AACCUUAUGGACCUGCGGGCGUAUACCUGCGGAAGGAUCAUUAUUGAAUUUUAAUGAAGAGUCUGGUUGUAGCUGGUCCAUUUAAUUGGGCAUGUGCACACCUUUCUCUUUCAUCCAUACACACCUGUGAACCUGUGAGACAGAUGGGGAAAUUUUUGCUUAUUUAUUUUUUGAAAUACAAAGAUAACUGAGUGAUUUGGACCCCUCUGUCUACUCAAUUCAAUAUAAACUCAAUUUAUU
This 240-nucleotide unclassified non-coding RNA is filed under the name soil metagenome. Its description in RNAcentral is "partial contains 5.8S ribosomal RNA, internal transcribed spacer 2, and large subunit ribosomal RNA". The record is from RNAcentral.